This is a long non-coding RNA of Bos taurus (domestic cattle), 649 nucleotides long. Lineage: Eukaryota; Metazoa; Chordata; Mammalia; Artiodactyla; Bovidae. The record is from Ensembl.
GGCUGCUGGACUGUCCCCCAGGAGGACGUCCCAUGUAGGGCGGCCUGGGUUGGAGGGGAGCAUAGGCAUGCAGGAGGGGCCAUCUGAUCAAGGCCUGGGGCUGCCCGAAGAUCGGGGAGUGGGGACACCUGCCCAUGGAGAGUGCAGCAGGGGGAGCAGUGGCCCCAGGAAGCCUGGUCACCCUGGAUGAGCCACGCGGUCUGUGGGCCAUUGUUACGGCAGCCCUGGAAACUGCUACAAUCUCCAGUCUCCAAGACAACUGCCGACUGAAGACAGUGAAGAACGGAACGGUCAGGACCCGGGCCAGGCUUUGCCCCGGGGGAGAGGACGUUCCCACGUGCUGGGACUUGCCUGAAACGCCCCGGGAGGGACGCACAGCCAGGAAGAGGCAGGAGCCAGGUCUUCCUCCUCACUGCACAGCCUGGGUUCCGCUUGCAUUUUUUACUUUUUACCACGUUAAUAAGGAAAUAAAUAAAAUUCAGAUCAGGGAGAAAACAAAAUGUCAAAAGACCCAUGUAAACCCGACACCUCUCCUAACCCUCCUCUCACCUGACUUGCUGUUUAACCAUCGGCCACAAGGGUGGGAGCGGGGACCCUGCCUUUAGCAUCUGCCUGGUCUCUUUCAGAGGAAAGAAAAAUGAGAGGCAGG